GACGAACGCUGGCGGCGUGCCUAAUACAUGCAAGUUGAGCGCUGAAGGUUGGUACUUGUACCAACUGGAUGAGCAGCGAACGGGUGAGUAACGCGUGGGGAAUCUGCCUUUGAGCGGGGGACAACAUUUGGAAACGAAUGCUAAUACCGCAUAAAAACUUUAAACACAAGUUUUAAGUUUGAAAGAUGCAAUUGCAUCACUCAAAGAUGAUCCCGCGUUGUAUUAGCUAGUUGGUGAGGUAAAGGCUCACCAAGGCGAUGAUACAUAGCCGACCUGAGAGGGUGAUCGGGCACAUUGGGACUGAGACACGGCCCAAACUGCUACGGGAGGCAGCAGGAGGGAAUCUUCGGCAAUGGACGAAAGUCUGAACGAGCAACGCCGCGUGAGUGAAGAAGGGUUUCGGAUCGUAAAACUCUGUUGGUAGAGAAGAACGUUGGUGAGAGUGGAAAGCUCAUCAAGUGACGGUAACUACCCAGAAAGGGACGGCUAACUACGUG
This 497-nucleotide ribosomal RNA is filed under the name uncultured bacterium. RNAcentral's name for it is "partial 16S ribosomal RNA". It matches the Rfam family "Bacterial small subunit ribosomal RNA", at positions 28 to 507 of the family's 1533-position model. The record is from RNAcentral.